This 358-nucleotide transfer-messenger RNA is filed under the name Lactobacillus equicursoris. It matches the Rfam family "transfer-messenger RNA". Rfam says of the family: Bacterial tmRNA, also known as 10Sa RNA or SsrA, is named for its dual tRNA and mRNA-like properties. Its role is to liberate the mRNA from a stalled ribosome. Lineage: Bacteria; Bacillati; Bacillota; Bacilli; Lactobacillales; Lactobacillaceae. The record is from RNAcentral.
GGGGAUGUUUUGGGAUUCGACAGGCGUAGAUUCGCGCUGAUUGCGAUUCGUAGGUUACGUCUACGUAAAAACGUUAACAGUUUAAAUUAACUGCAAACGAAAACUCAUACGCUGUAGCUGCUUAAUUGCGCUCAGCUGCCAAUAGAUGACCGGCCCGUGGCCGUCUUGCGGUAUCAACCUUACGGGAUACGCUUGCUUAUCAGACCUGAAUAAGUAAGAAGAGAUCAUCAGGUUAGCCAGGACUUGUUUGCCCUGUUAUAUGGCGUUUGGUGCUGGUGAAAUUUAAGUAAUAUAACUAUGAUCGUAGAUAUUGGUGACGGAAUGCGUUUGGACAGGGGUUCAAUUCCCCUCAUCUCCA